GAUGAACGCUGGCGGCGUGCCUAAUACAUGCAAGUCGAGCGAACGGACGAGAAGCUUGCUUCUCUGAUGUUGGCGGCGGACGGGUGAGUAACACGUGGAUAACCUACCUAUAAGACUGGGAUAACUUCGGGAAACCGGAGCUAAUACCGGAUAAUAUUUUGAACCGCAUGGUUCAAAAGUGAAAGACGGUCUUGCUGUCACUUAUAGAUGGAUCCGCGCUGCAUUAGCUAGUUGGUAAGGUAACGGCUUACCAAGGCAACGAUGCAUAGCCGACCUGAGAGGGUGAUCGGCCACACUGGAACUGAGACACGGUCCAGACUCCUACGGGAGGCAGCAGUAGGGAAUCUUCCGCAAUGGGCGAAAGCCUGACGGAGCAACGCCGCGUGAGUGAUGAAGGUCUUCGGAUCGUAAAACUCUGUUAUUAGGGAAGAACAUAUGUGUAAGUAACUGUGCACAUCUUGACGGUACCUAAUCAGAAAGCCACGGCUAACUACGUGCCAGCAGCCGCGGUAAUACGUAGGUGGCAAGCGUUAUCCGGAAUUAUUGGGCGUAAAGCGCGCGUAGGCGGUUUUUUAAGUCUGAUGUGAAAGCCCACGGCUCAACCGUGGAGGGUCAUUGGAAACUGGAAAACUUGAGUGCAGAAGAGGAAAGUGGAAUUCCAUGUGUAGCGGUGAAAUGCGCAGAGAUAUGGAGGAACACCAGUGGCGAAGGCGACUUUCUGGUCUGUAACUGACGCUGAUGUGCGAAAGCGUGGGGAUCAAACAGGAUUAGAUACCCUGGUAGUCCACGCCGUAAACGAUGAGUGCUAAGUGUUAGGGGGUUUCCGCCCCUUAGUGCUGCAGCUAACGCAUUAAGCACUCCGCCUGGGGAGUACGACCGCAAGGUUGAAACUCAAAGGAAUUGACGGGGACCCGCACAAGCGGUGGAGCAUGUGGUUUAAUUCGAAGCAACGUGAAGAACCUUACCAAAUCUUGACAUCCUUUGACAACUCUAGAGAUAGAGCCUUCCCCUUCGGGGGACAAAGUGACAGGUGGUGCAUGGUUGUCGUCAGCUCGUGUCGUGAGAUGUUGGGUUAAGUCCCGCAACGAGCGCAACCCUUAAGCUUAGUUGCCAUCAUUAAGUUGGGCACUCUAAGUUGACUGCCGGUGACAAACCGGAGGAAGGUGGGGAUGACGUCAAAUCAUCAUGCCCCUUAUGAUUUGGGCUACACACGUGCUACAAUGGACAAUACAAAGGGCAGCGAAACCGCGAGGUCAAGCAAAUCCCAUAAAGUUGUUCUCAGUUCGGAUUGUAGUCUGCAACUCGACUACAUGAAGCUGGAAUCGCUAGUAAUCGUAGAUCAGCAUGCUACGGUGAAUACGUUCCCGGG
RNAcentral lists this ribosomal RNA (1369 nucleotides) under uncultured bacterium. Its description in RNAcentral is "16S ribosomal RNA". It matches the Rfam family "Bacterial small subunit ribosomal RNA", at positions 28 to 1378 of the family's 1533-position model. The record is from RNAcentral.